CCUACGGGUGGCAGCAGUGGGGGAUAUUGCACAAUGGGGGAAACCCUGAUGCAGCGACGCCGCGUGUGGGAAGACGGUCUUCUGGAUUGUAAACCACUGUCCCCAGGGACGAUAAUGACGGUACCUGGGGAGGAAGCUCCGGCAAACUACGUGCCCGCAGCCGCGGUAAUACGUAGGGAGCAAGCGUUGUCCGGAAUUACUGGGUGAAAAGGGAGCGUAGGCGGGGUUGCAAGUUGAGUGUCAAAACUACCGGUGAAACCGAUAGUCGCACUUAAAACUGCAGCUCUUGAGUGAAGUAGAGGCAGGCGGAAUUCCUAGUGUAGCGGUGAAAUGCGUAGAUAUUAGGAGGAACACCAGUGGCGAAGGCGGCCUGCUGGGCUUUUACUGACGCUGAGGCUCGAAAGUGUGGGGAGCAAACAGGAUUAGAUACCCCAGUAGUC
Molecule: ribosomal RNA, 440 nt
Filed under: uncultured bacterium
Lineage: Bacteria
Description: partial 16S ribosomal RNA
Rfam family: Bacterial small subunit ribosomal RNA
Source: RNAcentral